CCCUUAGACACUCUAGGCGGCACGCGCGCUACAAUGGGUGGAAGAACGUGUUACUGCCUCCGAAAGGAGGGGUGAUUCACGAAUUCUUGCCCGUGAAUGGGAUAGUUUGUUGCAAUUUUCGGACUUGAACUAGGAAUCCCUUGUAAACAUGCUCAAGAAUAGCGUGUUGAAUACGUCCCUGCCGUUUGUACACACCGCCCGUCGUUUCUUCCGACUGAUACUCAUUGUGAGUUGCAAGGACCCUUUAUUGGGAAAUUGCUGCAAAUGCUUUGUAUUGGAGGAAGAAAAAGUCGUAACA
RNAcentral lists this ribosomal RNA (298 nucleotides) under uncultured eukaryote. RNAcentral describes it as "partial 18S ribosomal RNA". It matches the Rfam family "Eukaryotic small subunit ribosomal RNA", at positions 1470 to 1796 of the family's 1831-position model. The record is from RNAcentral.